Molecule: ribosomal RNA, 497 nt
Filed under: uncultured bacterium
Lineage: Bacteria
Description: partial 16S ribosomal RNA
Rfam family: Bacterial small subunit ribosomal RNA
Source: RNAcentral
GAUGAACGCUGGCGGCGUGCCUAAUACAUGCAAGUCGAGCGAACAGACGAGGAGCUUGCUCCUCUGACGUUAGCGGCGGACGGGUGAGUAACACGUGGAUAACCUACCUAUAAGACUGGGAUAACUUCGGGAAACCGGAGCUAAUACCGGAUAAUAUAUUGAACCGCAUGGUUCAAUAGUGAAAGACGGUUUUGCUGUCACUUAUAGAUUGAUCCGCGCCGCAUUAGCUAGUUGGUAAGGUAACGGCUUACCAAGGCGACGAUGCGUAGCCGACCUGAGAGGGUGAUCGGCCACACUGGAACUGAGACACGGUCCAGACUCCUACGGGAGGUAGCAGUAGGGAAUCUUCCGCAAUGGGCGAAAGCCUGACGGAGCAACGCCGCGUGAGUGAUGAAGGUCUUCGGAUCGUAAAACUCUGUUAUUAGGGAAGAACAAAUGUGUAAGUAACUAUGCACGUCUUGACGGUACCUAAUCAGAAAGCCACGGCUAACUACGUG